RNAcentral lists this small RNA (1074 nucleotides) under Arabidopsis thaliana (thale cress). RNAcentral's name for it is "ATSL090710". Lineage: Eukaryota; Viridiplantae; Streptophyta; Magnoliopsida; Brassicales; Brassicaceae. The record is from RNAcentral.
AAAUAAGGAAAACUUCAGGGCUUCUCAAAGACUUGGUGUAAAACGAAUAUUCUCUUGGCAGCGACAAGAGUGUCGAUCGACACAGGUGUGGUGUCAAUAAAUCCGACUCAUAUGCUCGACCUACACAUGUUUUCAAAUCUACCAAUCCCUUUAACAUUCAUUAGUUCUGGAACGUGAAUCAAGCAAUGCAUCAUCAAUGAACUCAUUUGGCUAAGGUAAAAGGUCAAGAGACUAAGAUGGUCCCUUACAGAAUAGGCUUUAGUAACAGGGGAUCUCUCAAAAAAUGAUUAAGCUUUAAAAGAAUGCUAAAGGUAAAUCCCAAGCUAUGCAUACAGAGAUAAGAUCCCAUCUACCUAGAGUAUAUCAAAUGAAGCUCUAAUGGUAAUCCCAUCUCCAAUCCCAAUAUAAGAACCUAACUCUACCCUUUGCAUUCAUGAAUCUUUUAAGCCCUUUUUCUAAUCAUUCUUUUCUUUUCUCUUAACUCUAGGAGAAGCGUUCUCAACACUUUGAUACAUCUAGCGGAUUUGGAUUUCUUUAACAACUAAGGUUCCUGUUUUUAACAUUUUAAAACCGAGGGCUUUUGCCCAUCUUCAAUAGCUAACAAGAACUCUUUCUUUUCUUUACAAAUCUCAAAAUCUUUACUAGACUUUUUCUGCUUCUUUAGCUUACUUCACCUAGAGUCUUUUACCUUUCCUCAUCAAUGAAUCAACCCUUUUUUUUUCCUUUAAACACAUCCCAACCCAAAGUAUAAGCGCCCACCUAGUCAUAUCUAGUCCGAAAAAUGCGAACUAGAACUACAUGAGACACUAUCUCUGUCGUUACGAACCUAACACUUUCUACCAAGCUUAAUCGGAAUAUGACCACACAAACACUUACAAGUGAUAUAGGGCUUGAAAGAAAGUCUAGGUUUGGGUUCGGGUUAACUACUCUAAUAAGGAGAGUCAGCUACUUGGAUUGACAAGAGUGAUCAAAAUGAAUAAGAAAAUCCAAGUAUUUUAGGGUAUCCAUGACUUCAAAUUUGAUGCAGACAUGAUAAUUAAAGAUCAAAUUCAGGUUCAAAUUGAUAAGGAAUGA